Long non-coding RNA from Nothoprocta perdicaria, 1575 nucleotides. RefSeq lists it as uncharacterized. The record is from RefSeq and is a predicted model, not a curated record. Lineage: Eukaryota; Metazoa; Chordata; Aves; Tinamiformes; Tinamidae. The transcript has 4 exons.
GGGGGAACAGGCGCCAGCAGGGCCCGGACUGUGGGUGGGAGUCUGGAAGCAGAGCACAGAGGAGCCUGUGGAGCACUGCAGCAAGGGCCCUGUAUGCUCUGUGAAGAAGACAAAGAGAGAAUCAUUCAGAAGACUUUGGUCCAGGGGAUGCUUCACUGCUAAAAACCUGCCAGCAAGUCAUAGCAAUGUCCCUCUGAGUCAAGUUCCUGCUUGCCCUGGUGCUGCCUCCCUCCCAAGCGUCCUGCUUAACCUCACAGCUGGUCUCUGCUAUGCAGCCAAAGCACACACCAAGAAUGUGGAAGCUCAGAUGUUGGAAUGUCACUUUGAGCAUCCCGUCCUGCUUCUGCCUGCUUGUGGAUAGCAUCCUGGCAUGGUCUGCAGGGAGCUGAUGUGGUUCCAUGUGACAAAAGGAGGAUGCUUGUCCCAGCUUCCUUGCUUCUUGAGGAGACUCAUUCUUUCUAAAGACAGUUAUCCAUCAGCCCCAGUUUGCUGAACAGCCAGCCUGUGCUUCACCUUGCCCAGCUUUUGCCAGAUCAUUGGAGCAUUUCUGUACUCUCUUUGGGAAAAACCCUUCAGAUCACAAAAAGACAGAAGCUGGAGCCUGAGGAGCAAAGACCUUUCUCCAUAGCAAUGCAGGAUAAAAAUGCUUGACCAGAAGAGGCAGAGAGAUCAAUCAGCACUCGCCGGUUUCACUGCAAACAGAUUAAAGCAUGCGUAUCUGCUCCUGUUAYUGUUCUAGACGGAAAUGCAGAGAGCAAAGACAUGAGAAAAAGAAAUUGGACGUUAAAAACAAAACCAGAGCUAUCUUUGUAGGCUGAAACUUCCCGGGUUCAGCUCCUCUGCCGYGCUGGCUCCUGGACGAAGGUGUCCCCCGGGCUGCGGAUGCUUUCCCCGGGCCGCAGUCCUUGUGGCUGCUGAGAGGGGAGCAGCUCUUCUGGCUCCGGCUGCCCCUGCUGCUCUGCCCCGUUUGCUGUGGGUUUGUGCUCCGUGGUGCUGGACUUGCCCUCCAUGUUCAUCGAGUGCACGGGCUUUACCAGCACAGUCUGUGACAGACGCAGGGCUUAAUUUCCAUGUUGGCGACAUCGCAGUCAUCUCAGAAUAGUCGGGACCAGUGUGGAGAAUUCAGACAUUUGCUGGCAGUAUGCUGUAGGUGCAAUCCAACACUGAUUAUUUUAUGGCAUGUCUGUGUUGCUGUGUGCUGAAGAUGACAGAACUGAAGCCUUUUUAGGAGCAGUUGAGGCUUUUUAUGUACAGAGCAGAAAUAUAGAAAAACCCUUGAAACACAUUUUGAGCAAAUCCUUUGAUUCUAAUUGCAAGUUUGAAAUGACAAAUGGUAGAGAGAAACUUCAGGAAAAUCUGUGUCUAUCACAGCUCCUUUAUCUCCCCAUCGUCAUCAAUAAGGAAGCAAAAAUGAUUGGCAAAUUCAAAUUCCCACUUAUUGUGCAGAGCUGAGUGUAGGGGCGACACUGCUCUGUGGUGCUUGGGGAAUAGCUGUCACAGCUCUUACAGUGACUACGGCUCUGUUAAACUUUUUACCAUCUUUUAUCUUCCAAUUUGUCCAAAAUUAAGCAUUGG